UAAAGAUUCAUCGCUGAUAGAUAGGCAUGCGUUCCAUUAGGCAGUUGGCGGGGUAACGGCCCACCAAACCGACGAUGGAUAGGGGUUCUGAGAGGAAGGUCCCCCACAUUGGUACUGAGACACGGACCAAACUCCUACGGGAGGCAGCAGUGAGGAAUAUUGGUCAAUGGGCGUAAGCCUGAACCAGCCAAGUCGCGUGAGGGAUGAAGGUUCUAUGGAUCGUAAACCUCUUUUAUAAGGGAAUAAAGUGUGGGACGUGUCCUGUUUUGUAUGUACCUUAUGAAUAAGGAUCGGCUAACUCCGUGCCAGCAGCCGCGGUAAUACGGAGGAUCCGAGCGUUAUCCGGAUUUAUUGGGUUUAAAGGGUGCGUAGGCGGCCUUUUAAGUCAGCGGUGAAAGUCUGUGGCUCAACCAUAGAAUUGCCGUUGAAACUGGGAGGCUUGAGUAUGUUUGAGGCAGGCGGAAUGCGUGGUGUAGCGGUGAAAUGCUUAGAUAUCACGCAGAACCCCGAUUGCGAAGGCAGCCUGCCAAGCCAUGACUGACGCUGAUGCACGAAAGCGUGGGGAUCAAACAGGAUUAGAUACCCUGGUAGUCCACGCAGUAAACGAUGAUCACUAGCUGUUUGCGAUACAGUGUAA
RNAcentral lists this ribosomal RNA (637 nucleotides) under uncultured bacterium. RNAcentral describes it as "bacterial SSU rRNA". It matches the Rfam family "Bacterial small subunit ribosomal RNA", at positions 202 to 842 of the family's 1533-position model. The record is from RNAcentral.